AGCGAACGCUGGCGGCAGGCUUAACACAUGCAAGUCGAGCGGGCCCUUCGGGGUCAGCGGCAGACGGGUGAGUAACACGUGGGAACGUACCCUUUGGUUCGGAAUAACGCUGGGAAACUAGCGCUAAUACCGGAUACGCCCUUUUGGGGAAAGGCUUGCUGCCGAAGGAUCGGCCCGCGUCUGAUUAGCUAGUUGGUGGGGUAAUGGCCUACCAAGGCGACGAUCAGUAGCUGGUCUGAGAGGAUGAUCAGCCACACUGGGACUGAGACACGGCCCAGACUCCUACGGGAGGCAGCAGUGGGGGAUAUUGGACAAUGGGCGCAAGCCUGAUCCAGCCAUGCCGCGUGAGUGAUGAAGGCCUUAGGGUUGUAAAGCUCUUUUGUCCGGGACGAUAAUGACGGUACCGGAAGAAUAAGCCCCGGCUAACUUCGUG
RNAcentral lists this ribosomal RNA (433 nucleotides) under uncultured bacterium. Its description in RNAcentral is "partial 16S ribosomal RNA". It matches the Rfam family "Bacterial small subunit ribosomal RNA", at positions 29 to 507 of the family's 1533-position model. The record is from RNAcentral.